Molecule: long non-coding RNA, 3707 nt
Organism: Synchiropus splendidus (mandarinfish)
Lineage: Eukaryota; Metazoa; Chordata; Actinopteri; Syngnathiformes; Callionymidae
Exons: 3
Source: RefSeq, a predicted model, not a curated record
AGGAAUUGUACAUUAUAGUCAAGGCCAUGAUACAAAAAAAAGCGUACAAGACGAUAAACAUGUCCUCAGCGAAAGACACAAACUAAUGUAUAAUGUGUAAUAUGAAACUAUGAACCUGAAAUUGAAAUAACAAUAUACAAUAACAAUGAAGGGAUUCACACACUGGAAAACAAUAUUAAAUGCAUAUUUGCAAUUGUAUAUUUAACUACACCCUGAGACAGCACAUAUAAGGCAUCGUGUCCACCAUAAUGUUAUUGUUUUUCACCCAAUAUUGUUGCCUUUUUUUAACUAAUAGAAUUCCUUUUACUUAUGUUCCGAGUGCAAUGAGCUCAAUUGGACAGCAGAUGGCAGUAGCGUCACGGCGCUCCUGGAGACGUGAAGAAGAGGACCGCGACACUUAAACAAACGCAGGUCACAUGACUGGAAGGCACCAGUUGUUUCAAUGAAAAACAAAAUGGAGGAAACCAAACAGAACUCCCCUAAAAUGAAAUGACUUGUAAGAUAGUCAGCUCUAAGUUUUUUUUUUUUCUUUUUUAAGAAGAAUACGUUGAAAGAAAGGCACCACUCACCCCAGCGACCAAACCGCCCCAAACAGCCCAGACACCAUUCCCAGGGUGCUUAGUCCUUCUUGAAAUCCUUGCUCGCUGUAUCAAACGGGGGAGAGCUGACUUGGAGUCUUAUUUACGUCUUCAAGUGUGCAGAUAGAGACACCCGUGCUGCACUGGAAGAUACCUUGCAGGUUGGGGGCAUUUUUCCUUCUAUUUUGUCAUGGCAACUGUAUAUCACCGGAGUUGCCUGCUUAGCUAAACAUAACACAUUGUUUUAUUCUUUGUUUCCUUUGUUAUACUUUUAUCUUUUUUCCAAUAAAUGUGUUUGGUCCCUGCAGAGGACCACUUUGGCAACCACUCAAAUACUCGGAUAUGUGUCCAUCAAACUGCCUUUGCUCCUUAUUGAGAAAAAUAAUUACAUUUUAUCAUAAGCUUCAGUUUAUUCUGCAGAUUCAGGGGCUUUUUCAGGGUUUUUUUUUUGCAGCUUCUCAAAAAAAAAAAAAUAUGAAUUUAGACCAAGUCAGAUAAUAAGAGAAAAAACACUGGUUGUUUUUAGUCAGUAACACUUUCUCCUUGAAUUUCUGUCAUGUAGUAUGCAAUAUAAUCGGUCAGUCUCAAAGGUCAUAAAAAACAAAAUGACAACCGUCAUUGUGUUUUGUGAGUUAUUAAACUGAUGACAGUUUAUGAUUAACCUUCCAUCGCCCUCUGAGACAAAAGGCGGUGACACGCCUUCUUCUGUAGGUCACAGGUGUAAAGGCACGGAUAAUAAUCUGCAGAUGUGCCACUGUUUUACAAGACUUGAUAAGAUGCUUGCUAAAAAAGCAAUGUGCUCUGAACUGGUCACUAAAUUAUAACAGGUAAAUCUGAUGUUUGAUCAAAACGGAUGUUAAGUAAAGGAAAUCCUUGAAACCAGAUUGUCAGCAAAUGAGAACCAAUCUUUAAAAAUAAAAAUAAAGAUAACAUUUCUUCGUCACUCACCUGGGGAUGCCCAGGAAGGGUGCGGGACCAAGUAGAACAAAACUUAGUGCUAUGCAGAGUCCUCCGAUGACCACAAACCAAGCCCGCAGGACCUGUUCAUCAGCAAGAUAAAUAAACAUUGCUACCCUUGAAAACAACUCAGAGUAAUUAUACAAUGUAUUGUGUAUUAUACAAUGAGUACAAGUAACAUCUUGUGUUCAUUGUACAAUACACAAUGUGUGAGAGAAAAUCUCCUGGCCUGCAUGACAACAUGUGCAACAGGUCUUGAGCAUUAAGUUAUCUUGUUUAUUAAACAGUUGAAAUAUUUACACUAAUAAACUUUCACUCCUGGCCUUUCAUUCUUCAGUUUUCUGCCACUUUAUAAGCACAGAGUUUUUAGCUGGUGUGGUAGGACUGAGCAGCCCUCUUCCUCAAUGACAGCACUCACGCUAAAAUACAUGAAACAAUACUGCACAAAUAGCCUUCUAACAAAAAAUCUAAACACUAAACGCACUACAAAAACUGUACCAAAAAGCCAAACCAAUUCAAUAUGACAGGGCGGAGACAAGGGGUGGCCAUGUGCUGUAGUGCAAAAUGUAUUUAGUUUUGGGGUAUUAUUUAUUUGAAAACAGCUCUGUGGUGAUGAAGGUUGGGUUGCAGGGGCUGACUAUCAUAGCUGACUAUGAGUUAGAGCGAGUCUGCUUGCACAGUUAUCCAGUGCGAAAUGAUUGUCAGUGAUUGACAAGCAGCAUGUAAACAUUCAUCAGUCAUGAGGUUAAUCUGUGUGUUUUUUCCUCUUUUCCUUAGGACUGUGUUCAGGGCAGACCAGGACACACAAUACAAAUUUUGUCUUGUUUUCGAUGUACUCUCCUUAAAAUCUUUUUUUUUCUAAAAUCGCUGGCAAAAUUCCAUCAUAGGUGGUGCCCAUACUGCAAGGGAGAGCCAUGUAUCUGUUGCAUUGCAAAGUCAAAGGUUUCAGGACACAUCUUAAAACUCACAGGAUAUUUGUCGGUGAAGUAGCCCAUCACUGGUGAGCCGAGACAGUAUGGGAGGGACAGCCCAAGCAUGAUGAGUCCAACAUAUCCUGGUGAGAGAUUAAACUAGGUAGAAAGGGGGGAGAAAAUGUCAUGGAAAUAGACGGGCAUCAUAGGUGGAGUGAGCUGUAAGACUGAUCUUACUUUAUCCAUGGCAAACAGGGACAAUGUUGCAUCCAAGAAUCCCAGGCUGGAACUCAGAGUGAAUAUCACGUAGCAGAUCAAUAAUAUUUUAACGUGGGUGAGCAGACGGAAGAAUGAAUCCUUGGAAGGAUCUGCCUCUGUGUGAAAGGAAGUACACCCAUCAUCAGCUUGUAAGAGGUGAAUCAUGAGUCACUUCUGACACGAACCGAUGGUUGGUAGAAUGUAGAUGUUGAAGGGAACCAUGACCAAGAGGAAACAACCAAGUAGCAUGAAGGGAACUUCGUAUCCAAAGGCCUGGUAGAACCAUCCUCCCACCGGUGGCCCCAGGAUGAGACCUAGUCCUGUGAAGAUCUCCAGACUACCCUGAAACAUAAAGUCAGUUGAACACACAUCUAGACGUUCAAUUGAAAAGACAGCUGUUGAGAUGUUUUCCGAGAGAUUUAUGAUAGCAAAACAGGUCACAUGGGUCUCAGAUAGUAGAGGUUGGAGACCCCUGAGGUAUACGAGGGUCAUGUGUUCAAAACAAGUCACUCACAACAAUGCUUUUAAAGCUGUGCGCGUGAUUUGAAUGGCGAAACAACAUGCCAGUCAGACCUGUUGUCUACACUCACCAAGACAGUGGCCACAUUGUUGGGGAAGAUUUUUGCCGUGUGAGCAAAGGAGGAGGUCAUUGCAGCGGCAAAGCCCACAGCAUCUACAGACCGGACUAUGAAGCACAGUGUGAUGAAAGCAGGUCCUGAGGGGACCCUGUCCAGGAGCCUGUGGAAGAAAGGAUUAAAAAAAACAUGAACUGGACAUAAACGUCAUUGGUGAGAGUUGAGGACUAAGAUCUUGUGUGGUGGAUGAAACCAAAUGGGGAGAUGGGACCAAACCAAGACCAGGAUAAAACAGCAGUCAGAACACAGAAGCAAAUCAUUUACAAAAAAAUCCACAUUCAGCUCAACUGAGACAGGAUAGUGAGGAUAAAUGCAGCCGACUCCGAGACAAGAACAAGCCCUAGAAAAUGUGGUUUCAUGACGCCACA